Long non-coding RNA from Diceros bicornis minor, 5074 nucleotides. RefSeq lists it as uncharacterized. The record is from RefSeq and is a predicted model, not a curated record. The transcript has 3 exons. Lineage: Eukaryota; Metazoa; Chordata; Mammalia; Perissodactyla; Rhinocerotidae.
AAUGUUCUUCUUCCUCUACCCAGCGCCGGCCUCGCCGCGGCCGCGGGGGGCGGGCGAGCACGCGAUUGGCUGAGGCGCGCGCGCUCACCGGAACGCUGCGGCCGCCGCUGCUCCGUCCGGCCCCUCGGCGGCGGCGGCGGCGGAGAGCGGCCGCGCUCUGGGGUCCGCGCCGGGCCGGCGGGCACCGCCGUCAGGCGAAAUGGAAUUUAAAUGGCGCGGGGUAAAGGGUUGGUUGGUCGUUUUAAAAACCUCGGAACCCCGGACACCGUUAUUCGGGUGCAAAGCCGCCUCUUGCGGGGGCCGCGAGCUUCUCGAGGCUGGGUGGCGAUUGUCUUCUCGCCGUGACAUCCUCCACCCCGGCCUCCUGCCCGGCUGAAGCCCCUGCGUUUGUUGAUUGAAGAAGCAGUCCCGCAGCAGAGCGCCUGUAGGUCGGCAGUUUGUUGAGUGGGUGUUAAACUGUUCGUGCCCUGCUCCGUUCCGAUGGUUUGUUAUUUAAGUUUUAAAGGUCCGAGGAUGCCCCAGCUUCUGGCAGUAUCAGAUAAAGUGUGGGAACCCUGUCAAACCUCUCAUUUAUGGUCCUUUAGCGAACGUAUGAUUCAAAUCUUGUGAAGUCCACGCCUCUUCCCUUCGCGGUUUGGAACUCGUAAACAGUGAUACGUAAAUGUAUAUAAAGCAGCUCUUGGCAAAAUUGCUUAAAUAUAGAAAGAAAAUUGCUUCUCUUGAUCUGAUGAAUGUUGGGUUGUGGGUUUUCCUUAGAUAUUUCUCUUUUUUAUGUUAUGCCUUUAACUUGCUUUGGAAGGUGUGGACCACUUAUCUUAGAAGCCCUGAAGUGUUGAGGCUAGACUCUUAUUGAUAAUCAUGCUUUGUAGGCUGAAGAUCCUCUGCUAAUUGAUUUUUUUCUGCACUUUUGUUGUUUGUUACAAAUAAAUACUGACUCCAAGAUGGAUGGGUUAACCUUUCUUUCUUAAACAGUAGCCAUUGGGGCUUUUAUCAGGAUAACCCCAACUUUGAGUAUUUUGUCCAUAAUCUUAUACUUCUAUUUGAUAGGAAAUGCUUUAAACGCACCCAUUUUCCCCUCUUCCUUGUUUUUACCUUGCAAGGAAAUAAGUGGAGAAGAGAGUUAAAUUUGUAAUGUCGUGGUGAACCACAGAUCCUGAAGUUGGAAGGGGCCUCAAUAGAUGACAUGAUCCAAUCGUCUUCUGGCAGGAAGAUUUUACAGGAGAGGAAGAGAUAAGAGAAAGACCGCCCUGGUGGAUUAGUGGUACAGGAACACCGUAAGAGUACGCUCCUGAGCCCUUUCCAGAAUGGCUUUUACUGCAAGUCAUGCCCCUUUAGCUUCUGACCUGGGGCUUCCUGGGCCUUGAAAAGGCAUGGAAUUCAAAAAGAUCCCUCUAAGACCGAUGUCAAAGAGUAUACUGCUGGGCCGGCCCCGUGGCUUAGCGGUUAAGUGCGCGCGCUCCACUACUGGCGGCCCAGGUUCGGACCCCGGGCGCGCACCGACGCACCGCUUCUCUGGCCAUGCUGAGGCCGCGUCCCACGUACAGCAACUAGAAGGAUGUGCAGCUAUGACAUACAACUAUCUACUGGGGCUUUGGGGGAAAAAAUAAAUAAAUAAAAUUAUUAAAAAAAAAAAGAGUAUACUGCCUAUAUUUUCUUCCAGGAGUUUUAUAGUUUCAGGUCUUACCUUCAAGUCGUUGGUCCAUUUUGAGUUAAUUUUUGUGUAUGGCAAAAGAUAAUAAUCUACUUUCAUUCUUUUGCAUGUGAUUGUCCAAUUUUCCAACCAUUUGUUGAAGAGACUUUCCUUUCUCCAUUGUAUGUUCUUAGCUCCUUGGUUGAAAAUUAGCUGUCCGUAGAUGUGUGGUUUUAUUUCUGGGCUUUCAGUUCUAUUCCAUUGAUCUGUGUGUCUGUUUUUGAACCAGUACCAUGCUGUUUGGAUUAUUAUAGCUUUGCAGUAUAUUUUGAAGUGAGGGAUUGUGAUGCCUGCAACUUUGUUCUUUUUUCUCAGGAUUGCUUUAGCUAUCUGGAGCCUUUUGUUGCCCCAUAUGAAUUUUAGGAUUCUUUGUUCUGUUUCUGUGAAGAAUGUCAUUGGGAUUCUGAUUGGGAUUGCACUGAAUCUGUAGAUUGCUUUAGGUAGUAUGGACAUAUUAAGUAUGUUUAUUUUUCCCAUCCAUGUGCAUGGGAUGUCUUUCCAUUUCUUUAUGUCAUAAUCAAUUUCUUUCAAUAAUGUCUUAUAGUUUUUAUUGUAUAGGUCUUUCACCUCCUUGGUUAAAUUUAUUCCUAGAUAUUUUAUUCUUUUUGUUGUGAUUAUAAAUGGGAUUGUCUUCUUGAGUUCUCUUUCUGUUAGUUCGUUAUUAGAGUAUAGAAAUGCAACUGAUUUUUAUAAGUUGAUUUUGUACCCUGCAACUUUGCUGUAGUUGUUGAUUAUUUCUAAUAGUUUUCUGAUGGAUUCUUUAGGAUUUUCUAUAUAUAAAUUCAUGUCAUCUGCAAACAGCGAGAGUUUCACUUCUUCGUUGCCUAUCUGCUUUCCUUUUAUUCCUUUUUCUUACCUAAUUGCUCUGGCAAGAACUUCUAGUACUAUGUCAAAGAGUGGUGAGAGUGGGCACCCUUGUCUUGUCCCUGUUCUCAGAGGAAUGGCUUUCAGUUUUUCCCUGUUGAGUAUGAUGUUGGCUGUGGGUUUGUCAUAUAUGGCCUUUAUUCUGCUGAGGUACUUUCCUUCUAUAUCCAUUUUGUUGAGAGUUUUUAUCAUAAAUGGAUGUUGGAUCUUGUAAAAUGCUUUCUCUAUAUUUAUUGAGAUGAUCAUGUGGUUUUUAUUUCUCAUUUUGUUAAUGUGGUGUAUCACAUUGACUGAUUUGCCGAUGUUGAACCAUCCCUCUGUCCCUGGUAUAAAUCCCACUUGAUCAUGGAGUAUGAUCUUUUUAAUGUAUUGCUGUUGUGGGAGAUCAAAAUUGGCCACUGUGAAAUAUAUCUCUUUACCUUGAUUAUUUUCUCUGAUGGACAUUUGACCUCCCCCAAACUGCCUAAAGAAUUUAACAUAGAAGACCUGUUCCAGGAGGGAGUUACUAUCAUAUGAUGGCUGUAAUAUAAUGCAAAAUAGAUGUUACAAUAGGAAAGGCACCAACAAGCCCCUCUUAUCAAAAAUUCCGUCUCUCCCAGGCCACAUUCUCUAGGUGGCCCUACAAGGAGUUGGCAGACAAACAUUUACAUUUAUAAGGGAAAUCUCUGUUUGUAAAGGUAUCUCCCUCUGUGUGCUGGGAAGGGGGGGUGGGGCAUGGCCUUGUCUCUGGAAACUCUUAUCAGUAUGGAAGGAAAAGACUUAAAUCUACAUACUCUUGAUUACUGUGAUUUCUGUCUCUCCGGCCACAUUCUUUACAGGUGGCCCUGUAAAGAAUUGUCUGACGAGGGCUGGCGCGUUGGUGCAAGCAGUUAAGUGUGUGCGCUCCACUGCGGCGGUCCAGGGUUCGCCGGUUCAGAUCCUGGGCUCACACUGAUGCACCACUUGGCAAGCCAUGCUGUGGCAGCGUCCCAUAUAAAGUAGAGGAAGAUGGGCAUGGAUGUUAGCCCAGGGCCAGUCUUCCUCAGCAAAAAGAGGAGGAUUGGCAGAUGUUAGCUCAGGGCCGAUCUUGCUCGCAAAAAAAAAAAAAAAGCAGUUGUCUGACAAACAUCUACAUUUCCCUCUUCAUGUAAAUUGUCUUCUUCCCCUCUGAAAUCCCAACACACUACCCACCCCCAACAUCCUCCUUUGUCUUUAGCUGAAGAUAGUAUUUAAGAUGAGAAUCUCUGCUAUUAUGUGGACAAACUCAGUUUCCCUGGUUUCUCCCAUGUAUACAUGUUAUUAAGCUUGGUAUUGUUUUCUCCUGCUAACCUGUCUUUUAAUUAUUUGGCCAGCCAUAAUAACUUUAAGGGAACGGGCGGAGGGGGAUUCUCCCUCUUCCUCGACACUGUAUUCAGUUUGCCAAUAUUUUGUUGAGGAUUUUUGCAUCUAUGUUCAUCAGUGAUAUUGGCCUAUAAUUUUCCUUCUUUGCAUUGUCCUUGUCUGACUUUGGUAUCAGGGUGAUGUUGGCUUCAUAGAAUGUGUUAGGAAGUGUUCCAUCUUCCUCUAUUUUUUGGAAUAGUUUGAGAAGGAUAGGUAUUAAAUCUUCUUUGAAUGUUUGGUAAAAUUCUCCAGAAAAGCCAUCUGGUCCUGAACUUUUAUUUUUUGGGAGGUUUUUGAUUACUGUUUCAAUCUCUUUACCUGUGACUGGUCUAUUCAGAUUCACUAUUUCUUUAUACCUGUAUUUUUAAAAGAGCUGUCUAAUUUAUGCCUAUAAUAACUUUCAUAAUUAUACAUGUUGGAAUAAUCAAGUCUCAUGCUUGGGGGCAUAGCCAAUUACUGUAGCGAUCAAGAGGGAAUUUAUUAUCUCAUGUAUGCUGCUCACAGCAGGGUGGCUCCAUUACAUAUUCAUGACUUCUAGGGUAGUGGUGUUAAAGGUUAAGUACAGGCCACUGGAUUUGAAGGGCCACAGAUUUACUGGGGAUGGCAGUUCUUUUAAAUCCUAAUCUCCUGCUCAUAUCUUGUUACUUCAGAGGCCUUCUAAGGAACAUAUGGCCUGUUGCCUACACUUGACCACAAGGCAGAUGUUUGGAAACAGUUCUUGGUGAACGUUCUAGAUGCACUUUCCCUCUCAGUCCACCUUUGGAGAGAACAUGAAUUACACUUUUGAAGGUGAGAUCCUAAUUUUGAAGAGACAUUGAGGUCGUUUAGGGCAGUUCAUUUAGGGCAGUUAACACUUGAGUGGGGAAUCUUUAUCUAAACCAGAGGAGUAGUCACUGCUGAAAACAUGCUUUAGGACCCCCUGGCAUAAAACAUGUUGUUAUUUUAAACUUCUGUAAUAUUUGCAACUCUCAGCUCCUGGAGAAUUUUUUAAAUUUAUAGUUUACAUAUACAAAUAAUAGGGUUUUCCCUUAAUUGCUACUGUAUCCAUUUCCUGAUCAAAAGAAUUUGUGUAGCUUUAGCAUGCAUUUUGUACUUUUUUCUCCUUGCAAUAUUUUUGAAACAUUCAAAAACUAAAACUGGAAACGUGUCAUUACAUUUGAA